Molecule: ribosomal RNA, 775 nt
Filed under: uncultured bacterium
Lineage: Bacteria
Description: bacterial SSU rRNA
Rfam family: Bacterial small subunit ribosomal RNA
Source: RNAcentral
AAGGCAGCUUUCUGGAUCAUUACUGACACUGAGGAACGAAAGCAUGGGUAGCGAAGAGGAUUAGAUACCCUCGUAGUCCAUGCCGUAAACGAUGUGUGUUAGACGUUGGAAAUUUAUUUUCAGUGUCGCAGGGAAACCGAUAAACACACCGCCUGGGGAGUACGACCGCAAGGUUAAAACUCAAAUGAAUUGACGGGGACCCGCACAAGUAGUGGAGCAUGUGGUUUAAUUCGAAGAUACGCGCAGAACCUUACCAACACUUGACAUGUUCGUCGCGACUCUAAGAGAUUAGAGUUUUCGGUUCGGCCGGACGAAACACAGGUGCUGCAUGGCUGUCGUCAGCUCGUGUCGUGAGAUGUUGGGUUAAGUCCCGCAACGAGCGCAACCCUCACUUUUAGUUGCCAUCAUUAAGUUGGGCACUCUGAAAGAACUGCCAGUGAUAAGCUGGAGGAAGGUGGGGAUGACGUCAAGUCCUCAUGGCCCUUACGUGUUGGGCUACACACGUGCUACAAUGGCAUCUACAACAGGAAGCAAAACGGCAACGUUAAGCAAAUCCCGAAAAGAUGCCUCAGUUCGGAUUGCACUCUGCAACUCGAGUGCAUGAAGCUGGAAUUACUAGUAAUCGUGGAUCAGCGUGCCACGGUGAAUGCGUUCCCGGGUCUUGUACACACCGCCCGUCACACCAUGGGAGUUGGUUCUACCUUAAGGCAAGGUUUUAAACCCUUGACCACGGUAUAGUCAGCGACUGGGGUGAAGUCGUAACAAGGUAACCGUA